RNAcentral lists this ribosomal RNA (445 nucleotides) under uncultured bacterium. Its description in RNAcentral is "partial 16S ribosomal RNA". It matches the Rfam family "Bacterial small subunit ribosomal RNA", at positions 354 to 796 of the family's 1533-position model. The record is from RNAcentral.
GUGAGGAAUAUUGGACAAUGGAUGGAAAUCUGAUCCAACCAUGCCGCGUGCAGGAAGACGGCCCUAUGGGUUGUAAACUGCUUUUAUACGGGAGCAAUAAGGUCUAUGCAUAGAUUGAUGAGAGUACCGUAUGAAUAAGCAUCGGCUAACUCCGUGCCAGCAGCCGCGGUAAUACGGAGGAUGCGAGCGUUAUCCGGAUUUAUUGGGGUUAAAGGGUUCGUAGGCGGCUUUGUAAGUCAGCGGUGAAAUUUUGCAGCUUAACUGUAAAAGCGCCGGUGAUACUGUGAAGCUAGGAUUUGGUUGCUGUGGGCGGAAUGUGUGGUGUAGCGGUGAAAUGCAUAGAGAUCACACAGAAUAUCGAUUGCGAAGGCAGCUCACAAAGCCAAUAUUGACGCUGAGGCACGAAAGUGUGGGGAUCAAACAGGAUUAGAUACCCGGGUAGUCC